GAGGCGGGCGGGGGGACACCCCUCACCGCCUCACACCGGCCGGUCCGGCCCGGCUCCCUCGGCGCUGCAAAAGUCGAUAGGCGCGGGGAGAAGUGAAGAUGUUUGCGAUUGCCUCAGUGAGCAUGAUGAAACACUGAAAUUCAUGAACCAACUGUCUGGAGUGGCACAUAUAUUACUGGGCCCAAGGAAUUCUGGUUGUGCUGUUUGAUGCUUGCCAUGUUCACCAAUAGCAGCAUCUCAACCCAGUCUUGAUGCUCAAGUUCCAGAGCAUCUGUUAGACCUUCUCCCAGUCAGAAGACUACAAAGGAAACAAAGAACAACUUUGAAAUAAAUAAAUGCUCUUUGAAUUUCUAUCCCCUUAA
This 362-nucleotide long non-coding RNA is filed under the name Cyanistes caeruleus (blue tit). RNAcentral describes it as "lncRNA (ENSCCEG00000009335.1)". Lineage: Eukaryota; Metazoa; Chordata; Aves; Passeriformes; Paridae. The record is from RNAcentral.